ACCGGGCUCAGUAACGCGAGCCUGUAACCAAGUGGGGCAUUAAGGUGUUUGGACGUUGGCUGGACCAUCCAAGUUGGGCCUGGUGGGUGCGAUACCGGCCCGCCCAAUCCAAGUAAUGAGUGAUCCACGUGGUCCGGGCGAAGGCCUGGAUCACUUGGAUGCUAAAGUGGAGGGAACCGCGUGAGGCUGGUUUCACAGAGCAGCGACGACCUCCCGCUCUUGUCAGUGGAUGGAUAACGGGUCGGUUCCCAGUUGGCUCGCUCGUACUUGGAUAGUCUCCCUCAAUAGAACAAACACUUUU
This is a non-coding RNA of 301 nucleotides. It matches the Rfam family "Plant signal recognition particle RNA". The record is from Rfam.